CUAACAAGGCAUUUGCCUGGGCAUUUGGGGGUGUCGUUUUUUUGCUGCCCCCUGGAAUGUGCCGCCCAAGGCAAGUGCCUUGUUUGCCUCGCGGCAAAUACAGAGCUGCAUGCACACAAAUAAACGACACACAAUAAGCCUCACUUGAAGACCUCUGUCUACAUUGCAAAUGAAAUAGGAGUUGCAAAGUGAGCAGUCCCUGGAGUAUAG
Non-coding RNA from Pelobates cultripes (western spadefoot toad), 210 nucleotides. The record is from the annotation of a GenBank genome assembly. Lineage: Eukaryota; Metazoa; Chordata; Amphibia; Anura; Pelobatidae.